Molecule: ribosomal RNA, 1312 nt
Filed under: Sibylla pretiosa
Lineage: Eukaryota; Metazoa; Arthropoda; Insecta; Mantodea; Hymenopodidae
Description: 16S ribosomal RNA
Rfam family: Archaeal large subunit ribosomal RNA (bases 1063-1222)
Source: RNAcentral
AAUUAAUGAAAUUGUUUUAUAUGAUUUAUGUAAUUUAAUGUUAAAUUGAAUAAAAUAAUGUUAUUGUAAGAUGAAUUGAUGAAAUUGUUUUUACUAUAGUGUAUUAGUACUGUGAAGGAAAAUUUAAAUUUUUAAUAUAAUUAGAUAAAGGUAAUUUUAUUAAUUGUAUCUUGUGUAUCAAAGUAUAUUUAAAUGAAUUAUAAAUAAUUUUGUUCUCGAAUUUAAAAGAUUUAAUUGAAUAAUCUAGUUAUUGUGUUAUAAAUAUUAGAAAUAUUUAAUUGGUAAUGAAAUGUUAAUCGUUUUUAAGGAUAUCUAGUUUUUUAAUAAAUGAAUUUAAUUCAUAAAAUAUAAUUUAUUUUAUAUGUUAUUAUUAAAAUAUUUUAUAUUUUUAAUUUUAGAAAGGCUAAACUUUCUAAAAUAUUAUUAUAAUAGGAUUGUAAUAGGAGGAUUUUAUAAAUUUAGAAUUUGUUUUUAAUUAGAGGAUGUUAAAAUUUAAUUCUUGUUUUGAGGGAUUUUGGUUAUUAUUUAAUAUAUAUAUUAAAAUGUUAAGUUUAAUUUGGUAUUUUUAGUAAAUAUGAUUUAAUUAGUAAAGGAGAUAAUUAUUUAAUAAAAUAUUUUUGAUAUAUUAUUAUAAAGAAUUAAGCAAAUAUUUUGCUCACCUGUUUAUUAAAAACAUGGUUUCUUGAAUUUAUUUAGGAAAUUUAACCUGCCCACUGAAAAUUUUUGAAGGGCCGCAGUAUCUUGACUGUGCAAAGGUAGCAUAAUCAUUAGUCUUUUAAUUGGAGGCUGGUAUGAAUGGUUGGAUGAGGUAAAUUCUGUUUUAUAUUAAUUGGGAUUGAAUUUAGAUUUUAAGUAAAAAUACUUAAAUGUUAUUAAGGGACGAGAAGACCCUAUAGAGUUUAAUAAGUGUAGUAAAUAAUUGAGUUAUGAAGUAAUUUUUGGUUUUUAUGAAAUUUAUUUAGUUGGGGUGAUUAAAAGAUAAAAUAAACUCUUUUUUAAUUUUAAUAUUAUAGUUAAUUAUUUGAUCCAUAUUUUAUGAUUAUAAGAUUAAAUUACCUUAGGGAUAACAGCAUAAUUUUUUUUGAAAGUUCAUAUUGAAAGAAAAGAUUAUGACCUCGAUGUUGGAUUAAGAUAGGAGUUGGGUGUAGAUGUUCAAUGUACUAGGUCUGUUCGACCUUUAAAAUCUUACAUGAUCUGAGUUUAAACCGGCGUGAGCCAGGUUGGUUUCUAUCUUUAAUUUUAUUAGAUAUUUUAGUACGAGAGGACCAAAUAUUUAAAAUAAUUUUUGUUAAUUGAAUGCUAUUAAUUAUAU